Molecule: small nuclear RNA, 290 nt
Filed under: Camelus ferus (Wild Bactrian camel)
Lineage: Eukaryota; Metazoa; Chordata; Mammalia; Artiodactyla; Camelidae
Description: 7SK RNA
Rfam family: 7SK RNA
About the family: 7SK was discovered as an abundant small nuclear RNA in the mid-70s but a possible function has only recently been suggested.
Source: Rfam by way of RNAcentral
GGAUGUGAAGGUGAUCUGGCUGCGACAUCUGUCACCUUGUUGAUCGCCAGGGUUGAUUCACCUGAUCUGGCAGGUGAGGCAGGUGUCCCCUUCUUCCCUCUCUGCUCCAUGUGCGUCCCUCCCGAAGCUGUUCUCAGUCGAAAAGGACAAGCAUCCUGAAUAGAGGAGGACUGUUCUUCUCAGUCAAGGCUAUACGAGUAGCUGCGAUCCCCUGCUAGAACCUCCAAACAAGCUCUUGGGAUCACUCACCGGUUGUACAUUUUUAUUUUUUUUUUAUCAAGGAUGAACCU